CUGAUCAGCUCCUCCCUUCCUGUUUUCAAUUUUUGAAGAGGCUUUUUCAACGACUUCGAUUGUACCAACGGCGAUUUCCUCGGAUCUACGCGGUUUCGAGCGCUUUUGAACGGGUUUCUUCUUCGCAUCGUCAUCUACUUCGGGUUCUUCGUUGGGAAUUUCGAGAAUCGGACCUCGACCGACUCUAAUGUCGCCGCCGGUGAGGGAAAUUGGGGCGAAAGGGCCGAGAAGAAGG
This 235-nucleotide unclassified non-coding RNA is filed under the name Hevea brasiliensis (rubber tree). Lineage: Eukaryota; Viridiplantae; Streptophyta; Magnoliopsida; Malpighiales; Euphorbiaceae. The record is from RNAcentral.